RNAcentral lists this ribosomal RNA (882 nucleotides) under Cyphellophora laciniata. Its description in RNAcentral is "LSU rRNA". It matches the Rfam family "Eukaryotic large subunit ribosomal RNA", at positions 36 to 935 of the family's 3401-position model. Lineage: Eukaryota; Fungi; Ascomycota; Eurotiomycetes; Chaetothyriales; Cyphellophoraceae. The record is from RNAcentral.
UAGCAUAUCAAUAAGCGGAGGAAAAGAAACCAACAGGGAUUGCCCUAGUAACGGCGAGUGAAGCGGCAACAGCUCAAAUUUGAAAUCUGGCCUCCUUGGGGGCCGAGUUGUGUUUUGGAGAGGAUGUUUCGGGUACGGUCCGGGCUUAUAUUUCUUGUAACAGAAUGUCAUAGAGAGUGAGAAUCCCGUCUGGAGCUCGGACACGGCCUAUGUGAAACUCCUUCGACGAGUCGAGUUGUUUGGGAAUGCAGCUCUAAAUGGGUGGUAAAUUUCAUCUAAAGCUAAAUAUUGCCCAGAGACCGAUAGCGCACAAGUAGAGUGAUCGAAAGAUGAAAAGCACUUUGAAAAGAGAGUUAAAAAGUACGUGAAAUUGUUGAAAGGGAAGCGCUGGCAACCAGACUUGCAUGUCGGGGUUCCCCCUUGCUUUUGCCUGGGUUACUCCCCGGCGUUCAGGCCAACAUCGGUUUCGGGGGUUGGUUAAAGGCCCUAGGAAUGUACUUACCCUCCGGGGUAAACUUAUAGCCUAGGGUGUCAUGCGACCUCCCGGGACCGAGGAACGCGCUUCGGCUCGGAUGUUGGCGUAAUGGUUGUCAGCGACCCGUCUUGAAACACGGACCAAGGAGUCUAACAUCUAUGCGAGUGUUAGGGUGUCAAACCCUUACGCGGAAUGAAAGUGAACGGAGGUAGGAAGCCGUUAGGCUGCACUAUCGACCGAUCCUGAAGUUUACGGAUGGAUUUGAGUAAGAGCAUAGCUGUUGGGACCCGAAAGAUGGUGAACUAUGCCUGAAUAGGGUGAAGCCAGAGGAAACUCUGGUGGAGGCUCGCAGCGGUUCUGACGUGCAAAUCGAUCGUCAAAUUUGGGUAUAGGGGCGAAAGACUAAU